This 752-nucleotide ribosomal RNA is filed under the name uncultured Actinomyces sp. RNAcentral's name for it is "bacterial SSU rRNA". It matches the Rfam family "Bacterial small subunit ribosomal RNA", at positions 28 to 776 of the family's 1533-position model. Lineage: Bacteria; Bacillati; Actinomycetota; Actinomycetes; Actinomycetales; Actinomycetaceae. The record is from RNAcentral.
GACGAACGCUGGCGGCGUGCUUAACACAUGCAAGUCGAACGAUGAAGAAGCAGCUUGCUGUUUUGGAUUAGUGGCGAACGGGUGAGUAACACGUGAGUAACCUGCCCCCUUCUUUGGGAUAACGGUCGGAAACGAUUGCUAAUACCGGGUAUUCACUCAUUCUCGCAUGGGGGUGGGUGGAAAGGUUUUUUCUGGUGGGGGAUGGGCUCGCGGCCUAUCAGCUUGUUGGUGGGGUGAUGGCCUACCAAGGCUUUGACGGGUAACCGGCCUGAGAGGGUGACCGGUCACAUUGGGACUGAGAUACGGCCCAGACUCCUACGGGAGGCAGCAGUGGGGAAUUUUGCACAAUGGGCGCAAGCCUGAUGCAGCGACGCCGCGUGAGGGAUGAAGGCCUUCGGGUUGUAAACCUCUUUCGCUCAUGGUCAAGCCACUUCUUUGGUUGUGGUGAGGGUAGUGGGUAAAGAAGCGCCGGCUAACUACGUGCCAGCAGCCGCGGUAAUACGUAGGGCGCGAGCGUUGUCCGGAAUUAUUGGGCGUAAAGGGCUUGUAGGCGGCUUGUCGCGUCUGCCGUGAAAUCCUCUGGCUUAACUGGAGGCGUGCGGUGGGUACGGGCUGGCUUGAGUGCGGUAGGGGAGACUGGAAUUCCUGGUGUAGCGGUGGAAUGCGCAGAUAUCAGGAGGAACACCGGUGGCGAAGGCGGGUCUCUGGGCCGUUACUGACGCUGAGGAGCGAAAGCGUGGGGAGCGAACAGG